This 292-nucleotide ribosomal RNA is filed under the name uncultured bacterium. RNAcentral's name for it is "partial 16S ribosomal RNA". It matches the Rfam family "Bacterial small subunit ribosomal RNA", at positions 505 to 796 of the family's 1533-position model. The record is from RNAcentral.
GUGCCAGCAGCCGCGGUAAUACGUAGGCAGCGAGCGUUGUUCGGAAUUACUGGGCGUAAAGAGUGUGUAGGCGGUGCUCUAAGUUCGGUGUGAAAUCUCCCGGCUUAACUGGGAGGGUGCGCCGGAAACUGGAGUGCUCGAGCGUGGGAGAGGAAAGCGGAAUUCCUGGUGUAGCGGUGAAAUGCGUAGAUAUCAGGAGGAACACCUGCGGUGUAGACGGCUUUCUGGACCAUUGCUGACGCUGAGACACGAAAGCGUGGGUAGCAAACAGGAUUAGAUACCCGGGUAGUCC